RNAcentral lists this ribosomal RNA (253 nucleotides) under uncultured bacterium. RNAcentral's name for it is "partial 16S ribosomal RNA". It matches the Rfam family "Bacterial small subunit ribosomal RNA", at positions 524 to 776 of the family's 1533-position model. The record is from RNAcentral.
UACGAAGGGGGCUAGCGUUGCUCGGAAUGACUGGGCGUAAAGGGCGCGUAGGCGGAUGGUACAGUCAGAUGUGAAAUUCCCGGGCUUAACCUGGGGGCUGCAUUUGAUACGUGUUGUCUAGAGUGAGGAAGAGGGUCGUGGAAUUCCCAGUGUAGAGGUGAAAUUCGUAGAUAUUGGGAAGAACACCGGUGGCGAAGGCGGCGACCUGGUCCUUGACUGACGCUGAGGCGCGAAAGCGUGGGGAGCAAACAGG